AGCGAACGCUGGCGGCAGGCUUAACACAUGCGAGUCGAGCGGGCAUCCUUGUGGUGUCAGCGGCAGACGGGUGAGUAACGCGUGGGAACGUGCCCUACGGUUCGGAAUAACUCAGGGAAACUUGAGCUAAUACCGGAUACGUGCGAGAGCAGAAAGGUUUAUCUGCCGAAGGAUCGGCCCGCGUCUGAUUAGCUAGUUGGUGAGGUUACGGCUCACCAAGGCGACGAUCAGUAGCUGGUCUGAGAGGAUGAUCAGCCACACUGGGACUGAGACACGGCCCAGACUCCUACGGGAGGCAGCAGUGGGGAAUAUUGGACAAUGGGGGCAACCCUGAUCCAGCCAUGCCGCGUGAGUGAUGACGGCCUUAGGGUUGUAAAGCUCUUUUCUCCGGGACGAUAAUGACGGUACCGGAGGAAUAAGCCCCGGCUAACUUCGUG
RNAcentral lists this ribosomal RNA (437 nucleotides) under uncultured bacterium. Its description in RNAcentral is "partial 16S ribosomal RNA". It matches the Rfam family "Bacterial small subunit ribosomal RNA", at positions 29 to 507 of the family's 1533-position model. The record is from RNAcentral.